UACGUAGGGGCCUAGCGUUGUCCGGAUUUAUUGGGCGUAAAGAGCUCGUAGGCGGUCUGUCGCGUCGGAUGUGAAAACCCGGAGCUCAACUCCGGGCCUGCAUUCGAUACGGGCAGACUUGAGUACUGCAGGGGAGACUGGAAUUCCUGGUGUAGCGGUGGAAUGCGCAGAUAUCAGGAGGAACACCGGUGGCGAAGGCGGGUCUCUGGGCAGAAACUGACGCUGAGGAGCGAAAGCCAGGGGAGCAAACGGG
This 253-nucleotide ribosomal RNA is filed under the name uncultured bacterium. RNAcentral describes it as "partial 16S ribosomal RNA". It matches the Rfam family "Bacterial small subunit ribosomal RNA", at positions 524 to 776 of the family's 1533-position model. The record is from RNAcentral.